CCCUUAGAUGUUCUGGGCCGCACGCGCGCUACACUGACGAAGUCAGCGAGCAUGUCCUACGCCGACAGGUGCGGGGAAUCUUGUCAAACUUCGUCGUGAUGGGGAUUGAUUAUUGAAAUUCUUGAUCAUCAACGAGGAAUUCCUAGUAAGCGCAAGUCAGCAGCUUGCGUUGAUUACGUCCCUGCCCUUUGUACACACCGCCCGUCGCUACUACCGAUUGAAUGGUUUAGUGAGAUCUUCGGAUUGGCGCCACUGCGGCUCAGCAAUGGGCUCGGUGGAUGCCGAAAAGUUGAUCCAACUUGAUCAUUUAGAGGAAGUAAAAGUCGUAACA
This 331-nucleotide ribosomal RNA is filed under the name uncultured eukaryote. RNAcentral's name for it is "partial 18S ribosomal RNA". It matches the Rfam family "Eukaryotic small subunit ribosomal RNA", at positions 1470 to 1796 of the family's 1831-position model. The record is from RNAcentral.